RNAcentral lists this long non-coding RNA (32286 nucleotides) under Setaria viridis. RNAcentral describes it as "long non-coding RNA (SVIR_LNC003084)". Lineage: Eukaryota; Viridiplantae; Streptophyta; Magnoliopsida; Poales; Poaceae. The record is from RNAcentral.
UUUUUUUUUUGAAACUCACGCUACCUGGGACACUCACUCUCUCUGGUCGGGCACGGGCCGUGUUUCUUUCCCUUGUUCUUGUUUUUCUUCUCCGUGUGACUCAGCCCAGUUGGAUUUUGCUUGGGGCAUCCUUUUCUUUCCUCUCCUUCCGGCCCCGUUUCCCUCUCUACUCGCUGCUGGGCCAUGCUGCAAGCUGGCGGCCGGCCGAAUAAUGACGCGCAGCAGCUCCUGUGCAAGUGCAAGUCUUGCAAUUUGCAAACCCUGAUUUCGUGGUAUUUGGAGAGAAGUAACUUUUUGUUGAAAGACCGGAGAGCAGUAACUUUACAAUGAUCUUGCAUGAACUGCAAAGACAGUAAUCUAAGUCCCGCAGAAACAUCAUUAUCAGGUAAUGAUUUCAAAGAGCAACGGCUGUAAGGAAAGGAGCCAUGAAUUACACAUAGGGAGCAGCCAAACAGAAUCGACAUCUUGACAUAUCUUUACAUUAGCAUCAUAUUAAGUCUGAUUAUAGAUGGCCACCAAAAUUUCAUUGCUUAAAUGUGAAUUAAGUAAAAUCCAAAGCUUUUUAUCUAUCACACAUACAGACACUAAAACUUUGACAUAUUAGAUCGGGGUAACCUCAACAAAAACGAGACUCCUCAUCUGGCCCUUCAUGGUAAGAAACAUGAUCCCAAUAUGGUAUAGUUUGUAAUUUGGAUGAUUGAUGAGUGACAACAUACUUGUUGGGACUAAAGGUUUGUCUAGUAUUUGCCUUGUAGGUUUUAUAGGUUCCAAUUAUGCAAGCCAAACUAUUAGUCUAUGAUAUUCUAGUGACAGUAUCCAAAGUAUCACAGUAUUCAAGUAUUCAAAUCAGAAAAACACGUAGCACCGGAGAAUCCGACGGUGCAUCCGAGCAAUUGGUACAACAGGAAAAAACCUCAUGUGCACUGGAUGAUUUGAUGGGGUGGUUUAUGCAAGCGUCGGAGCAAUGCACCGUGAAGAUAGAGGAAAUCUAGUAGCACAAGAUAAUCCGACGCAUAGUGCAUAUGACCAUGAGACUAAGCAUAUUUACGGUGAGACUAAGCAUAUUUACGUCAGAGACUUCUAGAGAGUUUGCAAGGAAAUCAUAGUAGCACCGGAUGAUCUGAUGCUAUGAUUGAGGGAUGUCGGACUAAGCAUCAGAUGAAUUUUGUAAGAUGAGUUGGCUCAGUUUGAAGAAAAAGAGGGGCGUCAGAUGUUUCGACAGGGCGUUAGACAAUGCACCGGAGUAAUUGGGCUGAGGGGGAUCCAAUAGUUAUAUGCGUCAGCAGGGGGUACCGGAUGAUCUGAUGUCUAGCCCAUAUGACCAUCGAAUCAUCUGGUUCUCAUAAUUUCAGCUAGUUGUUGGAUCAACGGCUCCUUUGAUGUAUUCGGCUAUUUAUACCCCUCUACUUACCGGUUUGAAGUGCUGGUGUCUGCACAAAUCCGUUGAAGAACAAAACUUAUCAAGAACACAUUUAUACCAUCAAAAGUGGAAAAGUGAUAAUCCAAGGCUUAGCAUAAGCUUAGAAAAGUGAUCUGUGUGCUAAUAUAGGCCUAGAGUGAGUGAGUGGUGUUGCUACCUUGUGAUCAGUUCCAGGAGUGAACCACCAAUGUAAACUUGGUACAUUGGCACCCUUGUGGCCUUAGUGUCUCACCACCAGCAGCAAGUUUUUGACCCUCCGAUUUGAUGUGGAGUGGCAACGACGAUUUUGUUCGACUCGUUGUGAUGUUGCCACAUGUUUUCAUAACGAAAGGGUCUCACCCAAUGCCCGUGUUCUGCGCCUGUUCAUCACCGUCCUUUCACGGAUCUCCACAAUCAAGUUACAAUGACCUAACUCCAACAAUGGGACGUACACGUAUACCUUUGUGUCUCCCAGCAAAUUCAUGAACCUAUUGUCACCGAGAGUCCAGUCAAUGCGAACUUUAACAUUACGACCACCUUUCGGUCUAUUGUUCCAUGUAUAUGGUACUCCUUCCGUCCUAUAUUAAGUGCAUUUCUAGAGUUCAACGUGAAAACCAAGGCUGUUGUUAAAAUGACGCUGCUGCUCCUACAAGAAAUUCGCUAACCGCACCGUCCUGUGCUGCAGCUCCAUGCGGAGGCGGAAGGAUUUCUAGAAGCAUCACCCAUUUUUUUUUAACACAGGUUGACGAUGGAUGAGGGUUCGAGAAGCGUUAGAGUCCGGAUGGAGGUUACACAAGUCGAUCUUUUUUCCUGUGAGCCGGUCCAAGUAGCCUAGUACUUGGUUCACAUAUGUAAAUAUUUUGGUAAAUAUUUUAGGACAAAUUUUAAAUUGUAGAGGUACAAAUAUUUUGGGAUGGAUGGAGUAGGUUAUUAAGCAAAGAUCAAUCAGCCCACACUCCACCAACACAUCCUGAAAUCCGGCCAUCUGCCAGGCUUUCCUACCAUUGGCACCAAUGUGUUCCUUCCCUGCCAGCACCUCGUUGAAAUCCCCUAUGCACAAUCAAGGUGAAUCUGAUUGCGCAACAUCUCGAGUAGUCUCCUUUUUCUCAAUCCAACUAUCAUAUUAGGAGAAUUGAUAAGAAAAUCGUGCUCCAACAGUCUCCCUUUAACUUUUCUUUUUUCCAAUAAUGAUUCGAACAACCCAAUAAUUCACCACAGCUCUUCUAAAUAAAGGAUGAGUUGUGAUUCUCCCAGUACAAUAAUUAGAUUGGGAUGAGAUUAUUAGAAAAUUGCAAAAGCAACUAUCCCAAUAACCGUGAGAGCGAUAUUAGGAUAUCCUUAACUAGUUAUUGAAAAAUAUUUAUCGAAAAGCUGUUGAAGAUGCUAUAGUACCAGCUCUUCUUGCAUAGCUCCUGACGCGGUUCACCAUAAUGGUAAGGGUAGAAAAGCCAUGUAACACAAUGCCAACCACACCCAUCUGCAAACUCUGUUGUGGCCGCAAGAACGUGAAACAACGAGGCAGCCCACCUCAAUCGCUAACCGCACGCUUGGCGACGCUGCUGCCGGGGCCUGGCAGGGAACUGUGUUUAGCCAGAAACAAUUUGGUAUGGUUCAGGUCUCAGGAGUCAGCAAAGUGUAGUAGUAACCAAACACGAGAGAGAGGCACCUCCACGUUCCACCUUCCUCCUUGACCGAACGAACGGCGCCACCAAACACCGUGGACACGCGACGGAAUUUUCUAAUUUUGUUUGCUCCGGGUGCUUGGCUUUUGACUUGGCUGGGCUAGUGGGCGGCUCAACAACCAUGCCCUUCUUUUCUUUUCUUGUUCUUUUUUUUUGUUAAUAAGGAAGUAACAGUAUUCUAAUGAACUUAUCAGUAGUGUCUUAACAGCUAGUUGGAAUUCCUUUUCUUUUAGUUGAGCUAGUUGGAAUUUUUUUUAAAAUAAUGCUAGUUCGAAUUCUAGUACUGCACCGGUAUUAUAUAGUACACGGCUGCUGCGCAUGUUGAGGCCGCAUCGGUCUGGGCUACCCGAUGUCUCGCCGUUGACCAUAGAGUGUAGCAGCAUCGCUGUUUCGCGGGCCGCUACCAAAUGAAACAUCCUGUCAGGGCUUUGUUGGGGCGCACCAGCGCCACUACAGUUAGUAGCCAAUCACCUACCGAACUAAGCUGGCCUCCUUGGCGUGUUGUGUGAGAAUAAUAAUGCAUUGGUGUUUCAUAAAAAAAAAAUAAUAAUGCAUUGGUGAGGGUGUGAAACCAUAUUAUAGGGAUUAGGGAGGGAGGUGCAUGUACUCUUGGAAAGUCCAUCCUUGAUCUAAGCCUUGCUGGCACUGACCUUUGAGCAAUCUAUAAGCGAAACCAACACUGCCCUACUGGUUUCGACCUUCGGGCAAGACAAAAACACCACCAACGAUAUUACCGACGAUGCAUCUUCACUCCUGUGCCCUCUCCCACCAGCAAAAGCGGAUACAGAAGUCCAAGUGCGGCCAAACGUUACUUCCAUGACAAUCGCCAAUUUUGACAUUCUGUGUUGGAAGUGAGAGGCCUCAACACAGCGGCACGAUGCCUCACGGUGCACGAGACUCUUAAGACAACUACCUGCCACAUUGCAUGCCUCCAAGAAACUAAAUUACAAGCGAUAGACGCCCCGCUGGCUCUCUUUUUGGGUGGAUCCCACCUCAACAGCUAUGCCUACAAGCCGGCGUCAGGAACGAGAGGAGGAAUUCUUAUCUUAUGGAACGACGACGUCGUCGACCAGCAAGAUGUUAAUUUAGGCCGCUACUCCAUCUCCGCUUCUGUGACUGUACAAACCUGCACCUCCCAGUUCCUCCUCACCUCGGUAUAUGGGCCUUCAUGGUGCACGAGAAAACAACAUUCCUACAAAAUCUGCGCUCCUUGAAUCCAGACAACACCACUAGAUGGAUCAUUGCCGACGACUUUAACCUCAUCUACCGAGCGCGGGAUAAGAACAACAAGAACUUAAAUCUACAGCUUAUGUGACGUUUCCAAUCAGUGCUAAGCUACUGUAAGCUGAAGGAGAUCCACCUACAUAAUAGAAAAUUCACGUGGAGCCAUGAGCGCCGGAGGCCAACCCUAUGUCGGGUGCCAGCUAGAUAGGUUCUUCUGCAUCAAAAACUGGGGCCUCAGCUUCGGUGAUCACAUCCUACACGAUCUCUCUUCAAGCCACUCGGAUCACUGCCCGCUACUGCUUGCACAACAAUCUGAGCCGCGUCGACCGUCGCCUUUCAAAUUAAAAAACUUCUAGACGGGUCUACCCUGUUUCUAGGAAGUGGUAGCCUCUGCGUGGAGUAAGCAAACGUAACACAUUGAGCUGUUCCACAGGCUAGGAGACAAGUUGCACACAACGGCCAAGGCGCUAAGAUCAUGGAGUAGGACGAUCAUCUCAGAUGCACGCUUAAAGUUCCACAUGGCUCAGGAUGUUAUUCUACGACUUGAUAUGGUGCAAGACCAUAGAGAACUUUCAGAGGCUGAAUUCCUCCUUCGCUCAAAGCUUAAAAAGCAUCUGUUAGGAUGGGCAGUCAUCAAGCGCGCUGUUGACGCAAAAUUUGGACCUCAGGCUUCUGCAUUAACCAACACGGCUGGGAGAUCUGAUUAACUCCAGUGCAGGCUCCAAAUCAGCUCGUGAGUGGUGCAAGAUGUGCUUAGUCAAUUUGACCUGCAAUUGACAAGGAAAAUGUAAAAUUCAUAAGCCAAUAGGCGGCGAAGCCUUCGGACUCAUAGGUAGGAGUUCUUUGAAUAAACACCACAAAAUAUAGAUUCAUGUGGUGUAAAUAAAUAAAAUAUUAAUGGCAUGUGUCAUCGGCUAUGUCAGCCGAUGGGCUAAGAUAAAGCAUCGUAACGCAAUAGCCAUAAAAGGGAGUCCUUGUUAACCACACGCUUAUCAAAUAAGCUAACAGAUCUAGCCAAUGUCUUGAUAAGUGUAUUGAACUUAGACAAGGUAACACGAAUGAGAUGGCAUUGGCAUUAAUCUACUAACUUAACAGAUUAGAACAUAGCAACAAGGACUAGCCGAUGAUGACUAUACGCAAGCCAGAUACAUUAACAGAUCUUAAUUAAUGUCUUGAUAAGUGUAUUAAAUUUAGACAAGGAGAUAUGAAUGAGAGGGCAUUAACCUUAAUCUGUCAAAACUAAAACACAAUCACCAAGGACCUCUUGCUACCACUUGCAAACCUGAUUAUGGUAACAAAAUCUAAUCAAUGUCAUGACGUGUAAUUGAAUUUAGACAAGGUAAUACGGUGAGAGGGCACUAACUUCAACCCGUUAAUCUUAACAGACAGGCUCACGACAACAAGGCCUCACACGCACCCCUAUCGGCUCAAUGAUGUCAUCACACUCCUGAGAGAAACAGAUAAGACUCAUUCAAAGAAUCGGCUCUCAACAGUAGCACGUUGACGUUAGAGGCCUGACGGUUAGCAAUACGGGGGGCAACAGUUAGCAAUACGAGGGGCAGGGGUAAAGAUCUAUCGGACCUAGCAUAUAUAAAGCAGUAAAAGCAUGCAGAGUCUACUAGCCGAUACGAUAUGAUAAAUGUGAAUGUUUAAACAAGGCAAGGGAGCUGAUGAAUACAACCUAACCAGAUCUAAGCCGUUCAAUAACUGUGAGGAACAUCGAAGACAAGCAGAAUAUUGGACAAAGACUAGAAAGUUCUACUUGCAAUCUAAGAUAACUCAAUAACUAGCCACAUGAACGAAUAUCAAAAAAUAAGACUUAACUUAGAAAAUUCCAAUAGAGAUCGUAAUGACCGAGUGACGGUACUUACAAGUUUGCUGGAGAUCAAAACCGAUGCAGCCCUGCGCGCAAGAAGAAACUUGUCGAAAAGCUACAUUACUCCUACUCCUAAGGGUUUGACAGCGUGGCGCUGAAAGAUUGUAUUGAUUGAUCAAGAGAUGUCUAUUACAAGGCUCACGGGUUUAUAUUUAUACCCUGGAGCAAGCUAAAAUCCUAGUUGAUUACAACACGAGCUAUUAUAAUUAUUGCCUAAAAACUACCUAAGAUAACUUUCUCUAUGCUUUCCCUUAUUUGGUGGAGACACCGUGUCCGCAUCGUGCUCUUUUGGAUUCUAUCAGCUCCGGGGCUCUAAUCCUUCCGUCAUUGACCUUGGUGGAUGCGCCUAACUUGUCCUACCUUCCUCUUCUUUCAUUAGCUCUUGGAACCUUAUCCUCAACAGUUGACCCUAGUCAAAAACCGGUGUCAACACGUGCACGUAAGCGCCAGUGCUCACGUAUAACAAACCUCAAGGAAGGCGAUGCCAACACCAGAUUCUUUCACAUAAAGGCGAAUGGAUGGUGAAGGAAAAACUUCCAACGCCUUCGGAAAGCGCAAGGAUGGGCGGUCUCACAUCAAGACAAGACCAAUGUCGUCGCUGAACACUUUACAGCUACUAUGAACGCGCCACAAGAAAGAACAAGGGAUAUCAACUGGGACACCCUAUAUCAGCCCAGCGCUGACCUCUUGGGUCUAGACGACCCCUUCACUGAGGAAAAAAAAUAGUCCAGGCCAUAUCGCAACUCCCAAGAGACAAAGCACCAGCCCCAACGGAUUCACUGGACACUUCUUCAUCAAAUAUUGGGACACCAUCAAAGGCGACAUGAUUGCGGCCAUCAACUCCUUCUAAAACUUACGCUACAACGACUAAAUCUGCUAAACUUUGCGAACAUCAUACUAAUUCCCAAGAAAGAUGGGGCAGAAUCUAUCGGGGAUUACAGGCCUAUCAGCCUUAUCCACGCCUUCGUGAAGAUCAUAAGAAAAAUACUAGCGUUACGACUGGCACCCUUUCUCCAACAGCUCAUCUCGCCAUGUCAAAGCGCCUUCAUAAAAGGACAUAGCAUCCAUGACAACUUUCUAUAUGUUAGAAACAUUUCGAGGAAAUUUCACAUAACAAAAUCCCUGAUCCUUCUCAUGAAGCUUGACAUUUCCAAGGCUUUCCGCUCCGUAAGAUGGGAUUAUCUGUUGUCCCUGAUGCAGCAUAGAGGCUUCCCACUAAGAUGGCAGAAUUGGAUAACCACGAUGCUCAAGACGUCCUCCUCUAGGGUGCUCCUCAACAGUAUACCACUCGACUCGAUACAGCACAGACGCGCCCUACGCCAAGGCGACCCACUCUCACCGAUGCUAUUCAUCCUCGCCGUCGAACCUCUACAUCAACUGCUUAGCCGUGCGACCGAACUUGGCCUCCUAAGUAAACUUGGAGGACGGGUAGCACAAUUUCGUGUGUCAAUGUACGCGAACGACGUGGCCAUAUUCAUCAAGCUAACUCGAAGCAAUGUGACAAAUUUGUUGAGGCUACUACAGCUCUUUAGGAAAGCAUCAGGCCUCUGCACGAACCUACAAAAAACAAGUGUUGCGCCUAUUAGCCGCACUUCCAUCGACCUUGACAGCGUCCUCGCAGCCAUUCUAGUAGCAAGAACCAGCUUCUCGAUGCGGUUCCUUGGUCUUCCUCUUGCGGUCAGACGGCUACGCAAGAUAGACUUUCAACCAUUGAUGGACAAAGCGGCAGGCAAACUCUCCAUGUGGAAUGGAAGGAACCUCACGCAAGCAAGUAGAGUCAACCUCACCAAGUCGGUAUUAUCAUCUCAGCCAAUAUACUUGCUCACGGUGCUUAAAGCUACAAAAGAAGUCUUGGAAGAUCUUGACAAAAUCCCUAAACGUUUCCUGUGGGCUGGCAACAAAAACAUGAUGGUGAAAAAUGCAAAGUCAACUGGAUCUGCAACUGCCUGCCAAAAGAAAAUGGAGGGUUAGUGGUCCUCAACAUGGAGAAAUUUGUGAGAGCACUACGACUAAGAUGGCUUUGGCAUGAGUGGUGUUACCAGAAAAGGUUUGGGUGGGCACUGAAACCCCCUGCGACAAUACUGACCGACUACUGUUUGCGGCCUGCACCUCCAUCACAGUCGGAAACGGUUGGAAAAUGAGCUUCUAGCGAUCAGGGUGGAUGCAGGGCCGGUGGCCGAGGGACAUCGCCCCUCUCAUGUUUAUCAUUUUCAGAAACAAAAGAAGAAAGCUCGACAACGCCUUCACAAACAACAACUGGAUCAGAGACCUUAACAUCUCCAGAGGCAUCACUGUUGCCCACCUUGGCCAAUUUGCAACACUAUGGAACAUGCUACACUUAGUUGAACUCAAUCCACCUCGGGAUGACCAAAUACGCUGGGUCCUUACCCCCACCGGUGAAUACGCGGCGUCGGCCUACAUAGCCCAAUUCAUCGGCACCACAAAGAACCCGCAGCUUGCUAUUCUAUGGAAGAGUUGGGCACCACCAAAAUGCAAAUUCUUCGCGUGGCUCGUUCUCCAAAACAAAGUUUGGACCUCAGACCGACUAGCAAAAAGGGGAUGGCCACACAACCCGGUAUACCCUCUAUGCAAGCAAAUGGGGGAAUCUGCUCUACAUCUGUUUGUCCAAUGCAGGUACACAAGGAAAAUCUAGAGCUUGGUGGCAACAUACACCCGACACAGUGGCGCCAAUACAACUCCACCUUACAAUGGUGGAACAGCAUGACAACAACGCCAAACACCCCAUGGAGAGAAUGCGUAGCUCGACACUCCUUGUCAUAUAGGAGAUCUGGACAGGAAUCCCCAUCCUUCACACUGAUGGCCAAAAUUAAAGUAGAGGCUGCCGCAUGGGCGAUGGCAGGGGCGAAACAUCUAGUGGCUUCUUUUCCCUGUUCAUGAUUUUUUCUUUCUACCCGUUUAGCCUGUUGUACUCCUCUUCUCUAUCAAUGAAAUAGGCACAAUCUCAUGCCUCCUUGAAAAGCUCAGCACAAGCUGCUGGUAUUGGGCCCUGGUGACGCGCAUGAGACGUCACGCAUAUCCCCGUGCUUCUCAAACCUCAAGGAUUGUUCGCAGCUCGCGCACCCACGAUCCAUCUUCCAUACGGCACUACACAUGCAUCGGUACGGCUGUUCACUAUCAACCCUGCUCUGGCUAAUAAGGAGUUGACUAAUGACUCCUAUUUUUGUUCCAGAAGUGAUCGAGAUGUGCUUGAACGUGUUCUUGUUAGCAUUAGUUGAUGCUCAACCUGUUUCUGCUAUUUGCCUAUUUGAUUCAGUAAUAAGGUAGAGACAUUAAGAUAAACCUGAUGGAUAGAGUAUUACACAGUCAACAAUACGAACAACUUGGAAUAAGUAACCCGGUCAAGCACACAAUUAGCUGGAUCAAGGAGCUGACUUCUAGGGGUGCUGCUCUGUCCUGCGGCCCAACCAAAAUGUUUGAUGUCAGCCACGACACAUGGCUGAAUGGCUCGGCACAAGAUGUAUAAUCUGUCGCUGUUCGCGAGAUAUGAUGAUUUAUAGGUCGUAAACAAAACUGGAGAUCGCUCGUUGCUCUCCCUCGCGCCAAGUCAAUGGGUCCGUACUCUCUCUCAACCGCAUCACCCACCGGAGAACAGGUCUUCCAUCACCGCCAUGUUACCGGCGCCGCUGGCGUGGGAGGUGGGAAAUGGUCCACUUGAUGUGAAACAGGAGUUUUCAAAUCCUACAUGACAAGCCUUUCAAAAAAAGAAAUUCAACAGGACAUGUAUUUUUUAUUUUUUAAUGAAUUAUUCGAUGCUGCGAGUCGGAGUUUCAAUUUGCUUUCACUUUUUGAAGAAAAAGUUUAAUUUUUUCUUUUAAAAUUUCCUUUGGAAAAUUUCAAAAUGUUUAGGCCUUGUUAAGAUUAGAUCCAUGCGACGCCAACAGUGGUGCAACUUGAGUAAACAUUACGUAUGUGGGAAGCCGUUCACAUCAACCUUAGACUGCUCGCGCACCCAGAUUGGUAUGGCAAUCCCUCGAUGGGAUAGUAGAAUUUGGUUUGCUGCAUCAACUUUUCAUUCAUGAUGUCCAUCAGGGUCGUAGAGUGUCAUUUUCUAUCUCAUAAGAAAUGACAUGCGUUGCAAAAAGAUCUCUAGCCUAAUGGUUAAAGUACCUGAGUAGCACCUAUCAGGUCUGGGUUCGACUCCUCGUGGAAGUGAAACGAAUUUGGAAUAAAAAAUAUAAAAAAAUAGGUAUGAGCUUCCCUUGCUGACACCGUGACACGGUUAAAAAAAGAGAAAUGACAUACGUAACUACUAGCACGAUAAUCAUUAUUCAUAGAGAAGACUGAACCGUUCGAUUUUUACAUUGAUGAAGUUAUCCUGAACAUUUAGUAGUCGAUGGGUAAAUUUUACAUACCACUGAAACAAUGACGUCAAAAAAGAAUCUAAUUUUAUGUACCAUUGGAAACCACCGGUACAAUAGCAUCAAAAAAAGAAUCUAUGUUAGAUUCCGCCAUAAAGAUUUUAAUAAAUAUAUACUAAAUUUAGUGGGAAAACAUAACAAGAGUUGGAAUGAGCUUGAGGAAUCUUGUUAUUACGGCAUUGGUGUUCCCACCUCCUCUCGCCUGACAUAGAGAAGGAUAGCAAUUACCGCGUGACAGAAAAAGGGAUAAUCGAGCUAGAUCCUAGGUAACACUACAUUGUUGAAUCCACCCCUUGACGUGGACUAAAAAACCACGCGUGCAAGUGCUCUGGACCCUGGUACACAUAGAUUAGGUCUUGUCUCGAUACUAGUGGAUUGAAGUGGAUUAGAAGGAAUUGGAGAGAAAAUUAGUUCAUUUUAGAUUCAGGAUAUGUUCGAUUCUCUACCCCGGUCUGCCAAGCCAAAUAUUGGCCGUGCCCAACAAUUUUGGCCAGCGUUUGGAUGAGAGAAAGUUAGCCGGCCAGUUAAAAUUUAGCAACAUGUAGUACAAUGCAAUCCAAAGAAGCCAGGGCGAGAAAAUUGCUGGUCAGAGUUUGGCUUGGCUGGCCGCACAGGAGAGUAGACGAGGUGGCAGCAGCUUAGAGGUUGCACGAAGUCCGUGAUUCCUUGGUUAACCAAACUAAAACCGUAAUAUCAUUUAAACUAUAUAUCCAAUUUACAAAUCGUUUGGACCAUAAUAUUUGUGGGGGUUGCCCUAAAAUCCUAAGGAUUCCGAAUGUCAUUCGUAUCAUUCUCUGGAUCAGUAGAUGAUAUUGGCACUUCGUACAAGAAGUACAUACAACUUUUACUGAUUAUUUACAUAAGGUUGAAAAAGAGAAAGCAAACUACUAAUGAUACACAACCUUAAUUAUACAACGGAGUUCUACAUAGCAGUCCCAAGCCUAUAGGCGGCUUGGCUCCUAUGGUAGAUCCUCAAGAUCCUCAUCUUCUUCUCUAGCUACUUCUUCCUCUGAAGAAAGAAAGGAAGGGGAAGCAAGGGUGAGCACAAUACAAUGAGUACUCAGCAAAUCCCACAUUUAUUGUAUUAUUUUAUGCAGGAUUUCAAGGAGUAGCUACUAGUUUGCCUGAAAGGUAGUUUCAUGCAUAGUGUGUAUGGUUGUAACAUCUCGAAAGAAUGAAAUGCAGAUAUUUAUAAGUUGUUGGUCCUAGAGGGGAAUCCUCCUCCCUACCAGUCCCUAAGUUUUAGGAGCAUCAAGAUUCAUCAGGAAUGACUUGAGCCGGCCUUUGCCUUACCUCUAGAUACAUCUCAAGACAAGCCUAGAUCUCGCUCUUUUUAUAAAGCAGGUUACAACUAAUCCAUGGGAGCUUUAACUAUGUAAGCUCUUGACCGUGAGCCUCGGCUAUUCGAAUAGUUUUAUAACUCUGCGCAGAGGUGUACACUUUACUCGCACGUUCAAUCAGCCCAUACCUUAUACGGAGGUAGUACUGACCUACGAGACCCGUACCCACCCGUAUCUAUUACUAGACACACUACUGGAAAACUAAGCAUUCGUCCUGAGGCUCAGUACGGUUGCAUUUUGGCCUGGUACUAAUGUGAGCAUUAGUACCGAGCCUAACGGCAAGUUCCCGAUGAGGCUUCUGUGAACCCCUUUAGUACUGGAUGGAGGCUUCACCCUGCACUAAAGGUUGCAUAUUAGUACCGGUUGAAGCCUCUACCCGGUACUAAUAUGCUUGAGGGCCUUUACUAUCGGGUGAAGCCUCCACCCGGUACUAAUUUGGACUUUACUGGAUUGAAGUCCACCGCACGCGUCCGCUCCUCGCCACCUUAUCCACACGCCUUCCUCUCUCUCCUGAACGGCCCUCCUCUCUCCCUUCUCCCCUCAUGGUGGCCUCAUUUCUCUUCCUCCCAUUCUUCCAAGCGCGCCCCUUCCCUCCCCUCACGGCUGCCCCUCCCCUCUCCCCUCCACAUGCCCCUCACUACGACGCUGGUGAGGAGCGGCGGUGGGGCGAGGUGAGGCGACAACACGGCAGUGGGGGAGUGCAGAAGCGGAGUGGUGGGCGACGGUGCAGGGAGCAGUAGCGGGCGAUGGCGCGUGGAGCAGUGGGAUCUGCAGGCCAGCGCGGUGGGAGAGCGUGGAGGCGCGGAGGGGGCAGUGGGAUCUAAGGGGUGGCAGCAUGGCAAGAUGAGGUGUGUGGCCUCAUCUCUCUCUCUCUCUCUCUCUCUGGGCGAGGGUGGCCAGCAAUGCGAGGGGGCCAGUGGAGUGCGUCGUGAGGGCGGCCGGUCGGGCGAGGGGGCUGGUAGGGGGUUGUGGGAAAGCAAGACGGAGGGGACGAGGGUCGGGACCAAGCUCAGCUGACGAGGAGGAAGGGUAGCUCUCUCUAUGGGUGAGGGCGGCCGACAGUGCGAGGGGGCCAGUGGAGUGCGUCGUGAGGGCAGCCGGUCGGGCGAGGUUGCCGGCAGGGGGUCGCGGGGAAGGCAAGGCAACAGGAAUGAGGGUCGGGAGUAGGCUCGGCCAACGAGGAGGAAGGGAGUCUCUCUCUCUCUCUCUCUCUCUCUCUUCGGUGCGGGGCUUAGGUGCUAUGCGGCUGGGGCUCCAGCACUCAGGCGAACAAUAGCAGGGUGCGGCCGGGGCUCCAGUCGGUGGAUUUCUUUUUUUAAUUUUUUAAUACCCCUUUAGUACCGUUUAUACCGGUACUAAAGGACCCCACUUUAGUACCGAUAUAGCAGUACCAGUUGCACAACCAGUACUAAAGGGGGGAUUUGGGACCGGUACUGAAGGUGGAUUCCCUAGCAGUGACAACAUUCCCUAACUCCAUCCACAGAUACAGCUGGGGUCUAAACAGGGAUCACACUAUGUCCACUCGUGGACUCUAUCCCAGGAAAAGAUGCAUCAUAACUUGACAUACAAUGUCAACAGGUCCUACGGACCUCAACUCGUGACCCGUGCUAACCAGACCUAGGACUAUGUGUUGAAGGUCCUACUCCAGCCUAUCUGUUGCCCACCGUGGCCCCUUGGGAUGGUGUCAAUGUUAUUCGGAGGGAGAUCCUCUAGCCACAGGAGCGAAGCGGGACCCAUCACCACCAGGAAGUAGGCGGCCAUCUGGUCAUAGGUGCCAUUGGCGGCUUUCAUCGUGUUACUGUAUGUCUUGAGCUAGAUGGUGGGGUCGGAGCGACCAUCAUACUUUUCAUCGAUGGCUGGCCAAUCGACACCCCUGAGGCGUGGAGUGAAGGUGGCAAAGCCAUCGAUCGCUGUCAUCGUCAUCGUCGAGGUAGUACUCGACGAGUGGAGCCCUGGGGUGUCUGUUGUUGUCGCGCCUGGGCAGGUUGUAAGCAUCUUCAAGAGCGCCAUACAUGUGAUCGUAGUCGACAUGGAAACGCAUCUCAUUUUCUUGGCGACGGCGGUCCUCGCGUGUGGCGUCGCGGUUGAGUUCAGGAGCGUCGUAGUUGUGGUUGUACUCAGCGUGGCGGUGGAGCUUGUUCUCGUCACGCUCGUUGUGGCAGUUGUUGAGGUCGGGACGGAGGUCAUGGCGGUUGUGGAGGUCGCACAGCUCAUCACAGAGAUCACGUUGCCAACCUGGUUGGCCGCGGUCCUCAUCAUCGCCUCUCCUGCUGUGGUGGCGGUUGUCGUUGUUGUCGUGCUGAUGGUCGUUAUUGACGUUGUUGUUGGCGGGUGGGUCGGCAUUCUGCUCCACCUCUUCUUCAUGGAUUGGCUCCAUCCGACCUCCCACGCGGUCACCUCGGCAGUGGUCAGAUCUGCUAUGCCCAGAUUGGCUCCAAGAGUGCUAGGUGGCUGUGAACCGAGUGUGCGGGUUGUCUGUUGACCUGUUCCUUGAUUUGGGUGUUGGCGACUUGGAGUCGUGCCCAGAAUCGCUAGACUUGGUCUGAGUUUGGGAGAUUUUCCAGGUCGGUGUACACAGCCCCCAGGUUGGCCUGGGGUGUAGUGAAGACAUUGUGGCUAGCCUCCUCGAGGUCGGCUAGUAGAUUGCGAGCAUGUGCAGGGUGCCUGCAUCUGUCCCGGGCUCCGCUCUGGUCGGCGUUGUCGCGAUCGUUGCGUGGCGGUUGGCGUUGGUCGCCUGCUGCCUCCGCGUUGGCAGCAGGUUGUUGCUGGGCAGUUGCUUGCUCUUGUUAGCAUCGUGCCGCGUGAUCCUAGUUUCUAGCAUUGCGACUUCCUUCAUGAGAAGAAGUUUCGCCAUCCCGGGGUGGCUAGUCGGCGGAGAUGAUGAAAGGCUUCACGAUCUGGCAUGGAGGAGUUGCUCUCGUUGUCGCUUCCAAAGGGAUUUAAUGUCAAGACGAUGCAAGGCACUUGGAAUUCACCACAAUCCAGAAACUGAGCGGGUUUGGGUGGGUCUCCAGAUUGGAUCUGAAAAGCCUGGUUGAGUUUGGCGGAGUACAUGGCAGUCGAGUUUCGUAAACCAAAGGGGACUCGGGAUGGACCCUGCGCUGACCUUGUUGAACGUAGCACCACCUCAGACAGAUCUAUGCACUCAGCAAUAGUGAUGCUGAUGCGAUCUAGCCCCGCGAUCAGGUCGGAGGGCAUGGGUGGGCAGGCGACAACAAGUAGAUCUGGAACCCUCUCGGAGAGAGAGAGAAAUUGCCGACCUGCUGCGCAAGCAGCGUAACGAUCCUUGGAUGGAGAACUUGUUUCGUUGGAGCAGAUCUGAUGGAAGCUGAGCUGGCGCUAGAUGCCGAGUCAACGGAAGAUGCGAGUCGAUGAAAGAAGCAGUCGGAUCGGAAUCCGCCGGCAUGGUCCCAAAGAGAAUCUGGAUCGGGUUGGCGAUGUAGUCCUUCAUGCUCUCAGGGAAAACAACGCUGGGACGGGAUGUCAUCGAGGUCGCUAAGGAGAUCUCACAACCAUCCCUACCUAGCGCACCAACUGUUGGAUUUAUAAGCCCGGCAGUGCACCAGGGGGUUACCCAAGUGGUUGAUUUGUAGGUGAGGGUGAUUGUGAAACCAAGAACUUGAAGGUGGUUGCGAGAACACAAGAGACACAGGGGGUUUUAGAUAGGUUCGGGCCUAUGGAGAGUAAUACUCUACGUCCUGUAUGCUGGUGGAUUGUAUUGCUCAAAGGUUCGAUGCCCUCGGGAGGCUCCCUUGGCCGCCUUAUAUAGGCUGACGACCUAGGGUUACAAGUCAGUUUGAAUCUAAUCUACUCGGUAGUUACAUGGAAAGUAAUCUGAGUCGGACAACAAUAAGGAUCCUGCAAUAUCUGAGCAGAUUUGGACUGUCUUGUUUCCUUGACGUGUACUCCAAGUAUCUUCUAUGUCCUUGGCCUGCACGCUCUGGUCGGGCGGGCUCACUUGUCAUAUCCGACCAGUAUCCUAAUCAGUAGGGACCCCAUGGGGUACCCAUAUCCCUCAAUUAGGUUCAGUUGGUGGGGUGUGAAUCAAGGCCUCACAUGUUUAGGCACUCCCGAAGGCUGUACCUUUUUGGUACGUGUGUUGUACUGUCCACUAGAAAGAAUUUCCCAUGAACAAGUUCUUGUAUGACCAGAAUAAGCUUUUAGGAUAGGAUCCUCUGUCGAGGCUGCCUUCUUACUUGUGGGUCCAACCUUAAUUUGUUGCUAGACUCACUUUAGUUAUUUUUAUGCCAUUUUUUAAAAGUACUCACAUUCUUCCUUAGGAUUUUGUGAAGCAUGAUAUGACCUAGUGUAUAUUAGGUUCAUGAUAUGAAGAGGGCUCAAAAUUAUUAGGAGUAGCUGAGAAAAGAAAAUGGAGGAAAUAUCCAAAGCUGAUAAAGUAAACAAGUUAUGAUCUUUGUUUACUUUAUUGGUAAAACAUGGGAUCAAAAGGUGAUGAUGAUUUGUGGGACUUGCCUUCCUUGAAAUCCUGAUCGUCUAGAGCUUCUUCUUCAUAGUCCGGGUUGUCAAAAGCCUUUCCAGUCUCGUCGUUUUCUACAUUAUCAUAAUUAUACAUAAGCAAUCAAGCAAACAAUCAUAGCAAUGUAUCAACAUGGGUUAAAAUAGUAGAAUUUGGUAUUGGAAGGCUUAGAGAAUUUCCUAGAAUUUUCUAGGAUUUUUCUGGAAUUAUUGUGAGUGGUUUUCUAUUUUUGGGUCACAUAUAAUAUAGACUUUUCUAUUUUAGAGAAGAAUGGGAAUUCAUUUUGGGAGCUAUAGGUUUGAGAUUUGGGAAAACAAAGCAUGACUAAGUUUGAAAUGAAUUCUAAUAUUUUUGGUGAAUUUUUAGGAAUUUCUAGCAAUGGUUUGCAAAGUUUAGUGUGUACUAGCUUGGCUGGCCAUAGCAAAAUGGGGGGAGAGAGGGGAGAGGUUGACAGGCAGGCUAGGGUGGUGACGUGGCAAGGGGUCCGUGUGGCGGUACUGUUUCGUGAGCCAUGGGUUCGGGGUGUGGACCAGAGUGGUGCUUGGGUCUAUGGUCUAUGUGGGUCGAGUGCAGGGAUAGAGAGGGGGGUAGCGGCGCCACUGGGUUCAGGUCAUCGAACCGCCGCGGCAAGCAUGGGAGCUUACAAAGCGGGCUAUGCCGGGCAUUGUGGGUCCCAGGUUAGGGAAAGAACUUGCCCCGAAGGUGGAGGAGGGCACGGCAAACCUAUGGGGAUGGGUGUGGUCAUCGGAGAGCAGGCGACUCGCCGGAGUUGUGUGGCGGUGCGGCUAUGAGAGGAAUGAGGCCUAGAGAGGGUUAGGGGUGGUGCUAAGAGCAUAGGAAGGCUCGGAGCUGCUUGGCGCGCACAAUGGAGGGCUUGAGGUGGUCGGGAAUAGGUCGGAGCGACGCCGGCGGCUCGCUGGAGCCAGGCAGCACGGCGGUCGCGCGGAGGGAGAUGGCCGGAGAGGGUGUAGAGCUUAGUUGGGGACUUGGGCAGCAUUUCUGCUGUACCUGAGGGCUUCUAGUGGGUGGUGCAGCAAUCGGGACCGGCCGGCGGUGAGCGGGCAGCGGGGUGAGCGGUGGCAGGACAAGGCCAGCGAGGAGCAGCCGCUUGGGGCACGCUGCAUCGCUAGGAGAGGGAGAGGCUAACACCGCGCGUCAAUCCCAGUUUCGACCCGGCUCGGCUCUAGGGGAUAGAGCACGACGGUAGGUGGGGUGGCGCGGCACGGCGCGGUCCUAUUCCCACAAGGGUGUGAGAGGUGCAGAGGGGAGCGGCGAGGAGGAGAGGGGGAGCACCUGGGGCUAUUUAUAGCCUGGCGGGGCUGUGGUGAGGCGCGAGGAGGUUCGGUCGAGCUUAUCCCGGCUGGGGUAGCCUCCAAUGGCGUGGCGGCGCGUGGCCCUAGCGGUGAAGCGGAUGAGGACGGAGAGGGUGCGGUGGCAGGGGAGAUAGGGCUGAUUGAAUGCGCUUGGUUCAGGCACAUGUAGCGUGAGGUGGGGGGGAAUCCGACGAGGGUGAGGGAGAACGGGAUGAGGUGGCCAGCGGGCGUGCUCCGGUGCACGUGCGGGCGCGUGGUGAUGGCCAAGUUCUCAGGCAGGAGGAGAUGUACUGACGGCUGGAGGUGGCGGUGGUGCAGGCGGUGGCGGUGCACUUGGGAUUGGCGGAGGCGUGGCCUGGAUGGGCGACGUGGCGUCGAGCGGUGGCGGUGGGCGUGGCUAGAGAAGGGGGAAAGGGGGAUGGGUGGGUGGUAGGGGAUGAUGAUGUUAGGGUGAUGUCAUCAUCAGCUGGGCUGGGCCAUGUGGGAGAGGCGAGGCAAGCGAGCUGGGCCAACAGGCCGGUUUGGCUGAUGGGCCUGUGCGUGCGAGCGGGAAAGAGAGCGGAGGCGGGCUGGGUCGGGAAUGAGGUAUGGGAUGGAAGUGAGGUUAUCGACCUGAGCAGAGUUUGGAAGGUUUUCAUUUGUUUGAGUUGAAGCUUGAGUUGAAAUGUGACUUCAAAUUUGAACAGGUUUUGGUAUAUAGGCUUGAAGGAAAUGUUAGGGUGGAAAUUCUUGAAGUAGACUAGGUAAUUAGCUCAAACAUAUGCAUAUGUGUUCAUGAAAGUUUAUAUUUUGAAGCAAAAUUUCAAAUGUAUGGUUCUAAGGUUUGAAUUACUAGAUAAAUUUUAGAAAAAAUUUUGGGGUCCAAUUUUUUUUAAAUGCAUAGGAAAAUUGGGAUGUUACAAUAUUUCUCAUAUUUUUUCCAAUAAAAUAAGAUCCAUAUUAGAUGUAUUUGGGGAAAAAAGUUUGAUGACAUGCGGACCCUACAUGUCAUGCUCUCAGUUUUAUAUCCAUAUUAGAUUUUAGCAUGGUUGUAACCCAAAUUUCAUCAUCAUGGCCAAAAUUUGGUUGGGCCCUAAUUUGACCAUAGCCAAAAAUUAGCUUCACAUACCAGGGCUACAAACCAAACAUGCCUUCAAUCCCCUACAUUCCUUUCCAAUACUCUUCUAUCAAAUUUCGUCAAAAUUUUUUUUUUCUAUCAAACGGUUCAUAAACUCCAAUAUUUGUUUAGAACGAAAAAUAAACUUCAAUUUAGAGUUGAUGCAGCACCCUGCUACAUGGAGUCUGUUGGAGGAUGACAUUGACGCGCCAGCUAGUGGGGUAGGUGCGGGAAGCUUUAGGGGUAGGGUUGGUGUGGUGGUCAAAACUGAUUGAACACGAACCUGGUUAUUGUAGUACCUUCAGAUAUGCAUCCGAAAAUUGAAUCUACUCCUAAACAGUUGCGAGACAAAUGUCGUGACAACAUCGAAUACGAAACAAACAAUUAAGUGGACGAUACGGUAUACCGAUAUACACUCAUCAAGUGUAAUGAUUUGAGUGUGUUUAUGCAACAUAAUGAGAGAAACAGAAUCAUAUUUGUCUCCAGAAGACCCAAAAAAAGAGAGAACAGGAGUGAGGAGUAGAGGACCCGAAAUCCGUGCUCGUUUCACGGGAACGUACUAGGAGUAUUGGCUGCUCCGUAUUGCAUUAUUUUGGACGAUCAACCAUCCCAACGGGGUAGUUGGUGAGGACGUGACACGUGAGAUUGGUUGAGCCCUCCAGGGAGGGUAGGCCGGGCAGCCUUGACCGCGGAGAGCCAGCAGCGACGUGGAGGCACCGGGAGUCAGAGACGAGACCGGUGCCGGAUGCAUGGAAUGGAACGGACGCCGCUGGGAACGGAAAAACAAAAGGAGGGGCAGGGGCGCGGGUGGGGUAGGCAGGCAGCCGCAAGCCCGUAACGGCCGCGCAGCGCAGGCCCAGCACGCGCGACGGCGACGGGUGUAGGUGGAGCGCGACGCGACUUUUUUCCGCUGCGGUGCGGGGCUCCUUCCUACUCGGCUGCUGCUGCUGGAGUCGUCGUACGGCGCAGGUCGCUCGGGCCAACCAGCGCGGUGCGCGAACGUGGAGGCGCCCGCGUCCUGUACGUGGACGCCCGCUGGCGUACCAUGGUCCAUGUCCCUCCCUACGUGUCGCGGUCGCUGCCCCAGCUCGAUCCGUCAGAUGGCAGACUGUUGCAUCGGCUACGGAUUGCGGAUCUUGCACCUACAAGCCACGCCGUCGCGGGUUCACACACCACACAGGUCGCCAUGUCCCGGAGCGGUACAAGUUUGACCUCAUGUUACUCAUGCCAACGGGAUAUAAAUCCGUGUCAACUUCUCGCGUGGCCGUAAUCCAACUACUGCCACUUUGGAACCUUUGACCACCGUUUGGUGCAUGUGCAGUGGAUGCCGCCACCAUCGCAGGGCCGAUCCGUAAAUGAUAUGUUUAACUACGUAUUCCACUUUUGACUAGCGUACACCCCCGUGGAAUUCUAGAGUUCCGCUUACGAACCUAUUCUGAAAUCAGCAACAGAUUGAUCUGAAAGAUUUUCAAUAAUCAUUCAUACACUUGUGUUUUGUAUAUGUCGGAUCAGUGUCUUAAUCAAAAAGGAACUUUUAAGUUGGCCACAUCUAUUAACCUGCUACGGUUGACAGAUUAACAACAUUGUCAAAAGUCUCAUCCUGCUCUCCCCGCCCCUCAUUCAACUUUGGAUCAUGAAUGGAUGUUUCUUUUCAAUUUGGAUCUCUUCUGUUCAGCAUGCAAUUUUAACUUCUAUAUUGCAAUACAUACUCCUCCUUCAGUUUCACGUGGCCUUCAGGAUUGCGGCAGCCGGGAGUGACCUCCUUCACUUCACCUACUGAAAACUCUCAACCAACAUCCCUCUGCUGCCUGCAAUAACGUCCCCUGCUGUGCCGAAAUAAAAAAACAUGGCCCCACACUUUCGCAGCUUUGGUGGGCCCGUCUCCUCCCACAGCACCAAAACGUACCAACCCCCGCAGUACCAAACACAAACAAGCUCGUGUCCUCAAAUCGGACCCGUCUUCGCUCCCUCCCUGCAGAAACGCUAUAAAUCCCCGUCAUCCCCCUCACGCCGUUCCCAUCACCUCCUCUCCACGGGCAAGGCAAGCGAGGCGACCAAACAAAACAAACACAAGCCACACACCCCACCUACCCCCCGCCGGGGAGACGAGAGCCAGCCAGCCAUGGACCUCGCCCUCCUCGAGAAGGCCCUUCUGGGCCUGUUCGCGGCGGCGGUGCUGGCCAUCACCGUGGCGAAGCUGACGGGCAAGCGCCUCCGCCUGCCCCCCGGCCCGCCCGGCGCCCCCGUGGUGGGCAACUGGCUCCAGGUCGGCGACGACCUCAACCACCGCAACCUGAUGACCCUCGCGAAGCGCUUCGGCGACAUCUUCCUCCUCCGCAUGGGCGUCCGCAACCUGGUGGUCGUGUCCACCCCGGAGCUCGCCAAGGAGGUCCUCCACACCCAGGGCGUCGAGUUCGGCUCCCGCACCCGCAACGUCGUCUUCGACAUCUUCACCGGCAAGGGCCAGGACAUGGUCUUCACCGUCUACGGCGACCACUGGCGCAAGAUGCGCCGCAUCAUGACCGUCCCCUUCUUCACCAACAAGGUCGUCGCGCAGAACCGCGCCGGCUGGGAGGAGGAGGCCCGCCUGGUCGUGGAGGACGUCAAGAAGAACCCCAAGGCCGCCACCGAGGGUGUGGUGAUCCGCCGCCGCCUGCAGCUCAUGAUGUACAACGACAUGUUCCGCAUCAUGUUCGAUCGCCGCUUCGACAGCGAGGACGACGAGCUCUUCAACAAGCUCAAGGCCCUCAACGCCGAGCGCAGCCGCCUCUCGCAGAGCUUCGAGUACAACUACGGCGACUUCAUCCCUGUCCUCCGCCCCUUCCUCCGCGGGUACCUCAACCGCUGCCACGACCUCAAGACCCGCCGCAUGAAGGUCUUCGAGGACAACUUCGUCCAGGAGCGCAAGUAAGUCCCCGCCAUUGCUGCUGCUUCUCUGCUACUAGUUUAAGUAAUUAAUCCUCGAAUUAAUUGAUUAGUCUGCCAUUCGAUUCUCUAUGCGUAAUCAUUCAUUCCUGAAUGCGCUGCAUUUGGCCAUUUGCUUCGUCGGUGCCUCGGCGGGUGAGGUGAGCUGGACGCAUGGAAGAGAGGGAGUUUGGUAGGAUCCGUGACCGCACAUGCUGCAUGUCAGGCACCUACUGUUCCUGUAUUGCUUUAGCAAAAAGCGGAAAAAUGGCGAAUGCGAUUCAGGAGCCACCAUCGGCUCCGAAAUCAAUGUCACCUGUCGAUCAACAAGGACGAAUAAACAGCCAACUCGAUUUUCUCUAUCCUACCACAGGCCGUUCGGCAAGAUUUGACUUGUGCGGCGUCGGCAGCCAAAUCCAAAUUUCCAACGGAAGCGGCCAAAGUAGGUGACCAGAUCAUAUCAUGUCAUUGUUGCUUGCGCUGGUCUUCGGCCUGUAGCAUAGGAUCUGGAUCCAGCUCAUCUCUUCAGGAUCACCAACCCGUCACCAUCGAGUGAAGAAAAAAUUGUACUUCCAGGAGAUGGAGAUAACAGAAGGGGGCGCGGUAGGUUUGGAGGAUAGAAAACUGCAUGAUGAGGAGUAGGUAGGUGAACCGCACCAGUCACUCACCUCUUGACUGAUACGAUUGCUUACGGAGACGGGGCUUCGCUAGAUUUGGAUUGCUUUGCUUUUGCUUUGCGACCAAGCACCAAAGCUUAGGAUCCGGGCAAGGUUCUGGUUAGCCACACACACACCGAAAGCAACAUGAAUAAAGUGAUGGAAAAUGAGGCGGCUUCACGCUCAUAGGGUGUUGGUGGAACAGGAAGAAAAAGUCUUUUGGCUUGUAUCUCCAUCAACAAGUGGUUACAUAGAUCAUUUGGCUUGCACUUUGCCUCAUGCCAAUAAUGAACUAUAGUUUAUUUGUUAAUCACCAGAUUGGGUUGGGUCGAUGAGUCCAUCAUGCCCACCCACGAUCGAACGUGCAGCUUGUACUUUUUUUUUUUUUGCCAAAUGUUAUGUAGUGUUAUGGAAUUCCUGCUCGGUCGGAAGGAAGCUUCUGAUCCACUUCAUUCGGUUGAGAGAAACCUUACUAACAUGGAUGCGUGCGCAGGAAUGUGAUGGCCCAGACUGGCGAGAUCCGGUGCGCCAUGGACCACAUCCUUGAGGCCGAGAGGAAGGGCGAGAUCAACCACGACAACGUCCUCUACAUCGUCGAGAACAUCAACGUCGCAGGUAAUUUUCAACUACUCUUCUUAUUUGCUAUCCCGUCCUCGUAGUAGAAAUUCAGAAUCUCUGCUCCAUUCAUCCUAGCUACCACAAUCCACAACAGAGUUUUCAGAGUACGCUCUGCCCUUGUUGGAAAGAAACAACGGAGAGGUUUCUGAAACAGAUUCUGAAGAGGAAGCAGAGUAUGCUCUGCCUUUGUUGGAAUGAAACAGUUUUUUUUUUCCAGAACAUAUCACAUGGCAACGUGCCCAUUUGCAUCAGAUACAUGUAGGGUCCAAGAAGAAAACACUAAAGUAGGUUGCCUAUUGGCCGUCAUGAUGCUGUAGUCCACUGUUCCGUUUAAAAAAUACUGGUAUGGACGAUAAGGAACGUCUUAAUCAAGUCACAGUCACCCCACUUUCAUCAUUCUUAAUUAACCAGCGAAUUAGCCGGCAGAAUGCGGUGUCAGGCUUCAUUUGACAUCCAGUACGUGCUAGGGGUAUAAUGAAAUGGUCGUUGGAACCGCCGCCACAUGAUCACGCCUCAAUUUGUGUUUCCUAGCUCUUGUUUACAAGUCAAACUGCCACCAACAGUCGGUGCGAUAAAACUAUUACUAUGUCCUUGUCAUUUGUUGGGAUUUGACAAAAUCACGAGGUGCACUUUUUUAUCAUGAUAAUAUGAUCUCGUGACAUCGUCAGCCUAGGGAAUGAGCAGAAAGUUUGUUUGUUCACAAUUUGAAAUGCGCUAGGACUAGGAGCAAGUAGUAUACUGAUUACUAAAUUAUGUUGGUGUUGCUUUGCACAUUUGCAGCCAUCGAGACUACCUUGUGGUCGAUCGAGUGGGGCAUCGCCGAGCUGGUGAACCACCCGGAGAUCCAGUCCAAGCUCCGGGAGGAGCUGACCUCCGUGCUGGGCGCCGGCGUGGCGGUGACGGAGCCGGACCUGGAGCGCCUGCCCUACCUGCAGGCCGUGGUGAAGGAGACCCUCCGGCUGCGCAUGGCCAUCCCGCUGCUGGUCCCGCACAUGAACCUCAACGACGGCAAGCUCCAUGGCUACGACAUCCCAGCCGAAUCCAAGAUCCUCGUCAACGCGUGGUUCCUCGCCAACGACCCCAAGCGGUGGGUGAAGCCCGAGGAGUUCCGCCCGGAACGGUUCCUGGAGGAGGAGAAGGCCGUUGAGGCCCAUGGCAACGACUUCCGGUUCGUGCCCUUCGGCGUCGGCCGCCGGAGCUGCCCGGGGAUUAUCCUUGCGCUGCCCAUCAUCGGCAUCACGCUCGGAAGGCUGGUGCAGAACUUCCAGCUGCUGCCGCCGCCGGGGCAGGCCAAGGUCGACACCACCGAGAAGCCGGGGCAGUUCAGCAACCAGAUCGCCAAGCACGCCACCAUCGUCUGCAAGCCGCUCGAGGCCUAGAGCUUCGGAGAAUGCGAGUUCUUCCAGAGAGAGAGGCCAUCGAUCAAGCACUAUGUAUUUUUGUUUUUGUUUUUUCUUUUGUGUUUUUGUACUAAGAGGAGUUUUGUGUUGCCUGCUGAGUGAUGGGGGCAUGUAUGUGGCUGAGGUACGUGAGGUGUUGUAGAUUCACUUGGUUAUGUUCUUGCAAACUUAUCCAUAAUUUAUAGUGCUGUAAACUUGAAUUUAGAUCCCCCCUCUCUGGUGAACAUAGAAGAAAUUUCAUUCAAGGGCCAUUUUUAUUUCGAAAUUGCCAUAGUUGGUCCGGUGUAGGAAUUGAGGUCAAAUCAAAGAAAUCAGGCAUCGAUACAGAGCAGAAAAUACAAAUUUUACAAUACAUACUUGUAUAAAGCCGGCAGCAAUCCUUCGGGUACCAAAAGUGUGUUGACGCAAAAAUCGAGCGGUGACCUUCACGUACUAACACACGAAAGGUCUGGGAGACUCUGGUGCAGGUCCUGUAGAUCGACGCGCGUGGUGUGCGCGGGCGUGCCAAUCAGUUUGAUCAUUCAACUAGCAACUGACAAGGUGAAAAUAAUCCUUUGAAAUCCAAGGCAACUGGCCAAUCAGGCCAACGUAAUCCUGGCACUAGUGGUAAUAAUGAUGCAACAAAAUAGAGCAUGGUGAAUAAAUGUAUCGGCUAUGAAGCCGAUUCUAGUAUCUUGAUGAGCGUGGGUGUCUCAUCGACUAUCCAAGCCGAUUCACCAUAAAAUAGCAAAAAUCAUCGGCAAGAAAGCCGAUAGGAAAUAGAGCGUCGUCGAGCUCUCGCUCCACCAUAGCCAGAGCCACAAACCAAUGAGAUUCAAACUAACAUCGCUACCAAUAUCUCUAGGUGAAACCACAGCGAUGCGCCCGGUAGUUGCAGCCUAGAAACACUUAGCAGGACAUCAAUUUAAACCCCUCCAGCUGAUGAAUCCAAUCACAAUGGAACUCAAUUCCAACAGCACUAGAGGAAUAAUUAAGAUUAAGAUGCAACAGGCUAUUAAGUGAGACGAUACGAUCUAGAGCUAAUUAAAGCAAACUAGACGGUAAGACGAUAGAACAGAUAAAUAUCAGCCGAUGUAAGGUUAAUCAAGGCAGGAUAACUGGUGAAUACCGUAGAUCGAGAUAAAAGCGAUGCGCCGUAAGUCAAAGAUCUAGGAUACUCGAUAACUGGUAGAUGAAACUAGACGAAACCACAGCGAUACGCUCGGUAGUUAAAGUCUAGUACACCUGAUGACGGGAACUUGCAGCUUACUGGAGAUCGAGGUCGAUGUAGCCCAGCUUGCUAGAAGGAACGCGUCGAGAAGCCACAUUACUCCUACUUCUAGGGCAAUAGCGUGAAGCCGAAAGGUAGAUGCGUAAAGGUAAAUAUGUUGUAUUGAUCGUGUCAUGAUUUACAAUGGCCACGACCCUUUAUAUUUAUAGGACGGAUGGCCUUUGACGUUACAUAGCAAGACUCUAACCACGUACAAGGCAAGUCACGUACACAAUCUUUUCUAAUUAAAACUCUAUCUCUAACUAAUCCAACUCUAUCUCUAAUCAAGUUUAUGCCUAACCAACUCUAUCUCUAGAAUAUUUUAUUCUAUAAGACAACCUCUCGUACGUGCGCUUCCCUUGGAUGCCAAACAAAUUGGAACUCUUGUCGUGUAUAUGUGUGCGUUGAUUUUCUUCUUUUGAUCUUCUAGCUUCCUUGCUUUUUCAUGCACACGUUCCUGAUUUCUAUGGCCAGCUCGCAAAUAGCCUUAUUUAGAAGAUUUCGUCAUUUUUUACAUCAUCGGCCGAUUUCUUCCUUUCAGAGCAUAUUUUCAAAAUUCGGUGUCAACAAAUCCAUAACUCACGCCAAUUGAUAGCGGGCAGAGUUAACAUUCAAGAUAAGUUGAUAAGUAGACCAAAUCACAGCCCAAAUUGGGGGCCAACUACUGAAACCGAACUUGGCUUAUGAAUUCGGACGGCACAAAUAGCACAUCAAUUGGAUCCAAAAUAGAACACCACAACGCCUAAGCUCAGCACCGUCAAAUAAGUACACACACAUCAUACUCAUGGUGAUUUGAGAUUCAGAAGAAGACGAACCAUUUGACUUUUGAUACAUGGUUUAGGAUGGAAGACAAUAUUGAGGCUUUCACGGACUUGUACGGUUCAGGCUUUAGAUGCGACCUAGCUGAUUUAUUUAUUUGUUCACCUCACGGUAUUCCCAUACAUACAUAUAGCCAAGGGAAAAAUCACAAAGUGGGAUGGAAGCCUUCAACAUCUUUAUUAUAAAACUUGUUACCAUUUACUUGUGCAAGUACAACACGCACUGCAUCUAUCCGACUUUUGGCACCUUGGUGACCCCAUCACCGCCGGAGGGCAGAGCGCCAACCACCACAACCACACGGUUACAGCACAAGUCGCCGUCGCCGGCUGCCUCAAGCACACCCUUCUUGUCGAGAACAUGCCCAAGCACAUCCGAGACCAAGAACACGACGUCCGUCACCUGCGGGUUCUCGCGCUUUAUGACCAAGUACGCCGUGUCCUGGUCCUUCCCGACGAGCUCCGGCCAGCUUUGCUCUGCAACAGCGUUCAAUGGUUAGGAUAACCAGAUCGGCAACUCUUUACUCUUCCAUCUAAUAAACCAGCCAUUAGAACACAGAUCUCUUGUACAAACGGAGUUUGGGGAACCAAAUCGUCUGAAGACAAUGAGAUAGAAUGAAUACUCACUUCCUUGGCAAGGCGGAGGCGUGCACGGAGUUGCGGUGCUCGGCUUACAGACAACUGUCAGGAGAAGGAAGACAAUCGGCAACGGUAGGAGGAUGGAAGCCGAUGAAGUUUUCGACAUUUUCGCGGUACUGCUUUCUCUCUUCUUCUGGUGGUUUCUACAAGGCUUAGGAUGUGUCCGAUGGAGUAAUAUAAAGUAUAAUCAAAGCAUAUGAAUCUGGUUGGUACAUGCCUCCAUGGUACUCUUGCAGUUACGGGUAAAACAUGCCUUGUGUCACACGUGCCGCUGGUCCAUGGUCAUCCAUAAUUUGUAACGUUCACGUUGACUAGCUCCUAAUUAUUAGUGUGGUGGCAUGCUAUUUCGUGCAGAAUCGUUAUAGAAAAAAUGGAUGAGAAUAAAAUAGGCUAGUACAGUGGAUUUGGUAAGUUAGCUAGGUUCUUGUUAUUACUAAUUAUAGACUUAUUUUAAAGCCUUCGCAUUAGUACUCACACACUAGUAGAGAACUCACCUUCCAUGCGCCCUAUUUUGUCCCGGUUUAAAUUUGGCUCGGGACAAAAGGUUCACCAACCGGGACUAAACCUCAAUCACUGGUGGAGGGGCUCACCAACCGGGAUGUUUUAUCCCGGUUGCAAAGGCUAGUGGAAAAAAAAGACUUUGAGAGGCCUUUUAUCCCGGUUUGAAACACCAACCGGGAUCGAGAGCCUUUUCUCCCGGUUUGUAAUACCAACCGGGAUAAAGGGGGUCUUUUAUCCCGGUUGGUGUUUCAAACCGGGAUAAAAGGGUCCCCAACGGGGUGGCUGAAAGAGGACUAAAUCCCUCGAACCCUUUUAUCCCGGUUUUUAAUACCAACCGGGAUAAAAUGGGGUCUUUUAUCCCGGUUGGUGUUUCCAACCUGGAUAAAAGGGUCCCCAUAAGUUAAUACAGAAGGAUUGCAUCCCUAUAUAGGUAGAUGUGAUGUGUAGGUGGGACGGCAAAGAAGCUACGUGCGAGGCUGGAAGUUGUGGGUUCGAAUCCCACGCAGCGCGCACGCGCAUAUUUCGCGUGAAAAAUCGCGUGACUUGUGACUGAUAAAAGGGGGUCUUUAGUCUCGGUUGAGUGACCCGGGACAAAAGACCCCUUUUGCCCCGGUUGAUUUAUCCCGGAUGGAUUUUCGAGAGAUUUGCAUCCGGUUGUGUUAGAAAAAGAAAAGAAAAGAUGACCUCUAGAUAUUAUGAAAAACACAUAAAGAUGCAUACACCAACUCACUAGACUCUAAAUCUCUAAUUAUCAUGGACAACAAUUGCCAUUAGAUCCAUUCUGUUUCUAAAUAUUCAUCUAAACUACCUACCUAUACUAACAUUACAUAUAGAUUACGAACAUUUAUCAUUAUUAGAAUAACCUGCACGCCGAAUCUUCUGCACCACGCAUGGAUCUGGAGUCACAUCGCUCGCUCAGCACCGGCAGUCUCCAAACAACAUCUGCUACAGGACAAAGCCAGCGGCAGCCGUUCUCGUGGCUCCACGGGCUUCCGAUGGCCCUGGUGAAUACUUUUGGCAUUUGCUUAUUGACAAUAUGAAAUGUGUAAUUACUGUAGUGUUUUUCACUCCUUGACUUCUUGUGCAUAAUUAAAUGCUUUGAAAUAAAGUGGUCAUAUCAUAUUAUUUAAGAGGUAUGGAUAGUCAUUUCACGUUGAAUUUUUUGUAGCUAAUAUUUCCUUAGUUCUUACGGUGGGGUAGGGGCACAUAUAGUGAAAAUGGGGAGUCAUAACAUUGGACGAUUAGGGUAAUAUGCUAAGUACUAAUAAUUGCGUUGCAAAAAGUCACUACCAAUUAGAUAGUGGUAGUGAUUCCAUGUAUUUUCAAGCCACAUAUAUAUAGUUGACGCUUUGAAAAUGUAUACCGUCUCUAAAAACUGUGACUAGCACUGACAUAGUACUCGAUAGAACAUAGCAAAGCUAUGCUUUUAUAAAUUCAUGAGGCAAAUCUAAAAUACCAUUUUCGAUUAUCUAAACUCAAAAGACAAAAUUUAACGUGUAACUGAAGUUCAGUGGAAUGGUUGUCUGUAUACAAUCUCAAAUUUCACUUGUUCGAGAGUGCAGUUCAAAAUUCCCGCUGUUGGCAUUAUAGGUGACCAGUAGUGAGAAUUGGUCGUCAACGAUUAGAUUUUGUUUAUGGAUUGCAUUUGGACUGUCCUUGUGUCCGUCAUAUAUCCAGAGUUUGUUGAACAACAUAUAUAAGAACAGAGAGCCAUAAGAACAUAAGUACAAUGCAGUGGGUCAUAACUUCAAAUAGAUCCAGUAGUUCGUUCAUACGCAACUUAAUUCAGAGAAUUCUGUACACCUCUGCAGUAGCAGUUAUCACUGCAUAGAAUAUAGUUCCUGUAAAAUAGGCUCUCCCAAUAACAAAUAUUCUACACUAAAAGGGAUAAUUAUUAAACAAAUAUAAAGUAAGUGUAUAAAAACGUGACACAAAUAUUCUGUCCGGAUUUACAAACAACAAGAUACACAAUACAGGUCUGUCUACCUCCUACUCGAGUGUUUUGGGAGGACCUGGCGCUCGAAUGCCAGAUUCCCCCAAAACACUCGAUUCUUUCUGUUAUGAGGAAUCGAGUGUUUUGGGACGUCCCAACACUCGAUUUUCAUACCCUUGAAUUUUGAUCCAUUGGUUAUAACUAAAAGCUGCUUUAAUGAAUAAUCUGAGCUUUAAGAAGCUUUUUCAUAUAUACAAAACAACGUGGUCAAAAGAAAGUAAAAGAUUCAGUGGUAACACAAUAGAAUUUUGUACAGAUUUAUAUUAGACAUAAUAUUAAAUGGAUCAGGUCCUUAGCUGAGCAAAAGAAGCACAUACGCAUUCUUUUUUAAAUAACAUAAAAAGUCUUCAGCUAACUAUGUAGGAAGCAAUAGUACUACAGAAGCAAUAGUACCAGAGAAGAGUCUAAAAAUCUAGAAGCGGAAAUCUAAUUUAGAGACAGCUGAAUCAGGAAGAGGUCUGCGUCUAAAAAUCAAUACCUACAUGAAGUGAAUGUGUUGAACAACUAAGUCAAUUAAGAGGCGAAGAUUCCACUAGAUUAUAAUCAUUAACCUAAAUUAUCACACCCCACAAUGAAACAACAAAUACAUUCAAAUGCCCAACUAUACAUCCGCAAAAGCUUGAAUCAUAAGAGAAGCGCCGCCUAUCGAACUGGAACCUAGACACUAAAAUGAACAGUAAGAACAGGGGGGGCGAAAUUCCUCACUCGGGGUUCGAAUUGUCAGCAAAAAGAUGGUUCAAAUCAAUACCUCCAGCUAAAAAAGAGGCAUGGUUCGCAAAAAUCCAAAAUAGUCUCCAUAACAAGCCGGGCCCAUAUGUCAGGGAAAAAAAACAAACCAACACCAAGUAUAUCGGAGGGCAGAAGACGGAACAGAUGGCAGAUUGAACGGCAAAAACAAAUCGAACGCUGAGAAGCCUCAAAACGCUCAAGUGCCAUAUAGAUUGUUCGCUAAAACAAGGAAAAUAACAUGCUGGCUAUACUUGUAAGAGGCUGUCUAGUCAAUACUUGCAAGAAAAGGGUAUUUUACAUACCCUUGUCAGUACCAUGGAAACAACGACAUGCAUUCAAAAUAAAACUACACCUCAACUGCAAAAAAAAGUAUAUAAUUAUAUUCUAAGCAAUAAGAAAAUAAAGUAUUACGCCAAAAUAAAUAUUAUGAGUUGUACUAUGAGGACUAAUUUACAUACUAGACACAUAUAACUUACGCCCAAUUAGGUAUUGUACUAAUAGUAAUCUCAUCAAGUACUGUCAUGAAGUUAGAAUAUACAAAAAAGGAUAUACCACCAAAGCUCCCUCACAUAACCAGGUAUAGACAUAUCAGUGAAUCAAGUACGAAUUAAUCAAUUGUUCAGAUUGUUUGUAAGGACACCGGAUCAAACAGAUUCAUGUGAGAGGUUCCACUAUACCAGCACUAUAAAUAGGCAAACAUAAUAUGUGAACGAUAAAAAGAUAAUGCAUAUUUAAAAUCAUAUUGGAACUUAUACUGCACUAGGGUGAAAUAAUCUAGUUAUUCAAUACAACUGGGAAUCAUCUAGGCAAACACAAUAUGUGCAGGAUAAAAAGAAAAUAAAUAUUUGAAUUUAGAUUGGAACUUGUCCUGCACUGGAGUGAAAUAUAACUAAUAAUUCAAUACAAUUUGAGAAUCAUCUAAAUUAACAGCACCAAUAUUUGAACAAACUACAUAGAAAGGGAUCUGAUAAUGGGUAGUUGAUACAUACGGACUUAGAAGGGAAUAUAAAUAAUGACAUAUGCCAUGUGAAGCAGAAUAACUAGUCAGUUGAAUGGGGUCACCAUCAAAUUACCCAACCCAACACUACUAACAGGAUUACGAGUGCCUAAAAGUCCAGAUAUAAACUAGGGGAGGACCUAUUAAUUGCCAAAACAUAAUAGCAAAUAAGAAAUCGACUCUAGUACAUAAAAUUAGUGAAACUCUAAGCACUAUAGCCUGGAAUUUUCGUUCACUAGAACAACCCCUCACUCAACAAUAGCAAAACAACCUACGAAUCAUUACUAAUCUAAUUAGCACAAAUCAGAACAGCGAAAAUCGUGUGUAACACAACGAAUCCUGGAUGAAGCAUCACAGACGAACACACAAAUCGAUUCGAACUGCAGGGAAUUGCAAUCAUCGAUUGAAACUAAAAAUUAGUCAGUAAAAUAACGAUUCAACAAUAACACCUACCACCUAUAAAAUCUAGUCAAAUAACAGAAGUUAUACAUGAGGGAAUGAACCGAAUCUAACAUAUCAAACCUUAAAUGAAGCAAAUGAGAUGAGCAAAUGAAAUAUUUUGAGAUGAGGGGAUCGAAAUCAGUGACCAAAACAUCCACCAAUCGAUGCGCCAACACUUCACAAACCCUAACCACAGCUACUGGAAUCGAAUCGCAGGAAAAAGUCGGGGGAAACUCGAAAUCGAGAGGAAUCUCCAAACCCUAGAAACAUUCACCUGGAGGAGAGCUCGAGGACUCCGACGAAAAGACGUGGGAACUGUUCGGGAAAAGCAGGGGACGGUUCGGGGAGAAGCAGUCGGCCUGGAUAAGCCACCUCCAAAUUCCAACUUUGAAAAUAUGCAAAAAGAAAAUUUCCCAUCACAUCAAAUUUACGGUACAUGCAUGGAGUACUAAAUGUAGACGAAAUUAAAAACUAAUUGCUCAGUUUUGUUGUACUUUGCGAGACGAAUCUUUUGAGCCUAAUUAGUCAAUAUUUGGACAAUAAUUCACAAAUACAAAC